RNAcentral lists this ribosomal RNA (1461 nucleotides) under Salmonella enterica. RNAcentral's name for it is "bacterial SSU rRNA". It matches the Rfam family "Bacterial small subunit ribosomal RNA". The record is from RNAcentral. Lineage: Bacteria; Pseudomonadati; Pseudomonadota; Gammaproteobacteria; Enterobacterales; Enterobacteriaceae.
GCUGACGAGUGGCGGACGGGUGAGUAAUGUCUGGGAAACUGCCUGAUGGAGGGGGAUAACUACUGGAAACGGUGGCUAAUACCGCAUAACGUCGCAAGACCAAAGAGGGGGACCUUCGGGCCUCUUGCCAUCAGAUGUGCCCAGAUGGGAUUAGCUUGUUGGUGAGGUAACGGCUCACCAAGGCGACGAUCCCUAGCUGGUCUGAGAGGAUGACCAGCCACACUGGAACUGAGACACGGUCCAGACUCCUACGGGAGGCAGCAGUGGGGAAUAUUGCACAAUGGGCGCAAGCCUGAUGCAGCCAUGCCGCGUGUAUGAAGAAGGCCUUCGGGUUGUAAAGUACUUUCAGCGGGGAGGAAGGUGUUGUGGUUAAUAACCGCAGCAAUUGACGUUACCCGCAGAAGAAGCACCGGCUAACUCCGUGCCAGCAGCCGCGGUAAUACGGAGGGUGCAAGCGUUAAUCGGAAUUACUGGGCGUAAAGCGCACGCAGGCGGUCUGUCAAGUCGGAUGUGAAAUCCCCGGGCUCAACCUGGGAACUGCAUUCGAAACUGGCAGGCUUGAGUCUUGUAGAGGGGGGUAGAAUUCCAGGUGUAGCGGUGAAAUGCGUAGAGAUCUGGAGGAAUACCGGUGGCGAAGGCGGCCCCCUGGACAAAGACUGACGCUCAGGUGCGAAAGCGUGGGGAGCAAACAGGAUUAGAUACCCUGGUAGUCCACGCCGUAAACGAUGUCUACUUGGAGGUUGUGCCCUUGAGGCGUGGCUUCCGGAGCUAACGCGUUAAGUAGACCGCCUGGGGAGUACGGCCGCAAGGUUAAAACUCAAAUGAAUUGACGGGGGCCCGCACAAGCGGUGGAGCAUGUGGUUUAAUUCGAUGCAACGCGAAGAACCUUACCUGGUCUUGACAUCCACGGAAGUUUUCAGAGAUGGAUUGGUGCCUUCGGGAACUGUGAGACAGGUGCUGCAUGGCUGUCGUCAGCUCGUGUUGUGAAAUGUUGGGUUAAGUCCCGCAACGAGCGCAACCCUUAUCCUUUGUUGCCAGCGGUCCGGCCGGGAACUCAAAGGAGACUGCCAGUGAUAAACUGGAGGAAGGUGGGGAUGACGUCAAGUCAUCAUGGCCCUUACGACCAGGGCUACACACGUGCUACAAUGGCGCAUACAAAGAGAAGCGACCUCGCGAGAGCAAGCGGACCUCAUAAAGUGCGUCGUAGUCCGGAUUGGAGUCUGCAACUCGACUCCAUGAAGUCGGAAUCGCUAGUAAUCGUGGAUCAGAAUGCCACGGUGAAUACGUUCCCGGGCCUUGUACACACCGCCCGUCACACCAUGGGAGUGGGUUGCAAAAGAAGUAGGUAGCUUAACCUUCGGGAGGGCGCUUACCACUUUGUGAUUCAUGACUGGGGUGAAGUCGUAACAAGGUAACCGUAGGGGAACCUGCGGUUGGAUCACCUCCUUACCUUAAAGAAGC